Molecule: long non-coding RNA, 316 nt
Organism: Physella acuta
Lineage: Eukaryota; Metazoa; Mollusca; Gastropoda; Physidae
Source: RefSeq, a predicted model, not a curated record
CGAAUGUUUCACUUUUAUUCACAUGGUGAAACCAUGGUGAAUUUUUUAAAUUCAUAAAUUCUCCAAUCAACAAUAAGCAUUCAACUAAUGUUAGAAUUAAUCUUUAACUAGAAGAACCAUCUAAUGUAGCCUACUGUCAGAGGAAGCAACAGUUAGGGACUUCCACACCUUUCACCAAUGUAACAGGAAAACUAGAGGGCUUUUGAUUUUACUGUGAUUAUUUACACAACAUAAAAUGACAUUGCUUUCAAGCGUAACUUCUAAACUGCACAAAUAACUGACAAGCACUACCUUAAAAAGGAACCAUAUUUUACGG